GACGAACGCUGGCGGCGUGCUUAACACAUGCAAGUCGAACGGAAAGGCCUCUUUCGGCUGGUCUUCGAGUGGCGAACGGGUGGGUAACACGUGAGUACCCUGCCCUUUACUUUGGGGUAAGUUCAGGCAAAUGGGGCUAAUACCGGAUAGGAGCUCCAGCUGCCGGGUGGGGGUUGGAAAGUUUCGGCGGUUGGGGGUGGACUCGCGGCUUAUCCGCUUGUUGGUGGGGGAGGGGCUUACGACGGCUUUGACGGGUAGCCGGCCUGGGAGGGUGACCGGCCACAUUGGUACUGCGAUACGGCCCAGACUCGUACGGGAGGCAGCAGUGGGGAAUAUUGCCCAAUGGGUCGACGCCUGAUGCAGCAACGCCGGGUUCGGGAUGACGGCCUUCGGGUUGUAAACCGCUUUCGCCUGUGACGAAGCGUGAGUGACGGUACCGGGUAAAGAAGCACCGGCUAACUACGUG
This 466-nucleotide ribosomal RNA is filed under the name uncultured bacterium. RNAcentral's name for it is "partial 16S ribosomal RNA". It matches the Rfam family "Bacterial small subunit ribosomal RNA", at positions 28 to 507 of the family's 1533-position model. The record is from RNAcentral.